RNAcentral lists this ribosomal RNA (925 nucleotides) under uncultured bacterium. Its description in RNAcentral is "bacterial SSU rRNA". It matches the Rfam family "Bacterial small subunit ribosomal RNA", at positions 1 to 918 of the family's 1533-position model. RNAcentral also lists the same sequence under 1 other name. The record is from RNAcentral.
UGGAUCCAGACUUUGAUUCUGGCUCAGGAUGAACGCUAGCUGCAGGCUUAACACAUGCAAGUCGAGGGGCAGCGGGAUUGAAGCUUGCUUCAAUUGCCGGCGACCGGCGCACGGGUGAGUAACGCGUAUCCAACCUUCCGUACACUCAGGGAUAGCCUUUCGAAAGAAAGAUUAAUACCUGAUGGUAUGAUGAGAUUGCAUGAUAGCAUCAUUAAAGAUUUAUCGGUGUACGAUGGGGAUGCGUUCCAUUAGGUAGUAGGCGGGGUAACGGCCCACCUAGCCAACGAUGGAUAGGGGUUCUGAGAGGAAGGUCCCCCACAUUGGAACUGAGACACGGUCCAAACUCCUACGGGAGGCAGCAGUGAGGAAUAUUGGUCAAUGGACGAGAGUCUGAACCAGCCAAGUAGCGUGAAGGAUGAAGGUCCUACGGAUUGUAAACUUCUUUUAUAAGGGAAUAAACCCUCCCACGUGUGGGAGCUUGUAUGUACCUUAUGAAUAAGCAUCGGCUAACUCCGUGCCAGCAGCCGCGGUAAUACGGAGGAUGCGAGCGUUAUCCGGAUUUAUUGGGUUUAAAGGGAGCGCAGACGGGUCGUUAAGUCAGCUGUGAAAGUUUGGGGCUCAACCUUAAAAUUGCAGUUGAUACUUGCGUCCUUGAGUGCGGUUGAGGUGUGCGGAAUUCGUGGUGUAGCGGUGAAAUGCUUAGAUAUCACGAAGAACUCCGAUUGCGAAGGCAGCACACUAAUCCGUAACUGACGUUCAUGCUCGAAAGUGUGGGUAUCAAACAGGAUUAGAUACCCUGGUAGUCCACACGGUAAACGAUGGAUACUCGCUGUUGGCGAUAUACUGUCAGCGGCUUAGCGAAAGCGUUAAGUAUCCCACCUGGGGAGUACGCCGGCAACGGUGCAACUCAAAUGAAUUGACGGAA